CCAAACCAAUACCGGAGGACAGGCAAUCGAGCCUGUGGGGAUUUACCUGCUCAGGCAGGCGGCUGCAUUCGUGCAUCACCGUGCCCGUCAUACCUCAUCCGCGCAUCUUCCGGCGCUCUGGUAUCUAUCG
RNAcentral lists this non-coding RNA (130 nucleotides) under Klebsiella michiganensis E718. RNAcentral describes it as "EFASI RNA". It matches the Rfam family "EFASI RNA". The record is from Rfam by way of RNAcentral. Lineage: Bacteria; Pseudomonadati; Pseudomonadota; Gammaproteobacteria; Enterobacterales; Enterobacteriaceae.